RNAcentral lists this ribosomal RNA (380 nucleotides) under uncultured eukaryote. Its description in RNAcentral is "SSU rRNA". It matches the Rfam family "Eukaryotic small subunit ribosomal RNA", at positions 587 to 972 of the family's 1831-position model. The record is from RNAcentral.
AGCUCCAAUAGCGUAUAUUUAAGUUGUUGCAGUUAAAAAGCUCGUAGUUGGAUUUCGGAGAGGUGCUGCCGGUCCGCCAUUUCGGUGUGUACUGGCAGCGCCUUUCUUGCUGUCGGGGACGGGCUCCUGAGCUUCAUUGCUCGGGACUCGGAGUCGACGAGGUUACUUUGAGUAAAUUAGAGUGUUCAAAGCAGGCCUACGCUCUGAAUACAUUAGCAUGGAAUAACACGAUAGGACUCUGGCCUAUCUCGUUGGUCUGUGGGACCGGAGUAAUGAUUAAGAGGGACAGUCGGGGGCAUUCGUAUUUCAUUGUCAGAGGUGAAAUUCUUGGAUUUAUGAAAGACGAACUUCUGCGAAAGCAUUUGCCAAGGAUGUUUUCA